This 253-nucleotide ribosomal RNA is filed under the name uncultured prokaryote. Its description in RNAcentral is "partial 16S ribosomal RNA". It matches the Rfam family "Bacterial small subunit ribosomal RNA", at positions 524 to 776 of the family's 1533-position model. The record is from RNAcentral.
UACGAAGGGGGCUAGCGUUGCUCGGAAUCACUGGGCGUAAAGGGCGCGUAGGCGGACUCUUAAGUCGGGGGUGAAAGCCCAGGGCUCAACCCUGGAAUUGCCUUCGAUACUGAGAGUCUUGAGUUCGGAAGAGGUUGGUGGAACUGCGAGUGUAGAGGUGAAAUUCGUAGAUAUUCGCAAGAACACCAGUGGCGAAGGCGGAGAUCUGGGGGGCUAUUGACGCUGAGGUGCGAAAGCGUGGGGAGCAAACAGG